AUUGAACGCUGGCGGCAGGCCUAACACAUGCAAGUCGAGCGGAUGAAGGGAGCUUGCUCCUGGAUUCAGCGGCGGACGGGUGAGUAAUGCCUAGGAAUCUGCCUGGUAGUGGGGGUUACGGUCGGGAAAGGGGGGCAAUUACGGAAUACGUCCUGAGGGAGAAGGUGGGGGUUUUUCGGACCCAACGCUACCAGUUAAGCCUAGGUCGGAUUAGCUAGUUGGUGGGGUAAAGGCCUACCAAGGCGACGAUCCGUAACUGGUCUGAGAGGAUGAUCAGUCACACUGGAACUGAGACACGGUCCAGACUCCUACGGGAGGCAGCAGUGGGGAAUAUUGGACAAUGGGCGAAAGCCUGAUCCAGCCAUGCCGCGUGUGUGAAGAAGGUCUUCGGAUUGUAAAGCACUUUAAGUUGGGAGGAAGGGCAGUAAGUUAAUACCUUGCUGUUUUGACGUUACCAACAGAAUAAGCACCGGCUAACUUCGUG
This 484-nucleotide ribosomal RNA is filed under the name uncultured bacterium. RNAcentral's name for it is "partial 16S ribosomal RNA". It matches the Rfam family "Bacterial small subunit ribosomal RNA", at positions 30 to 507 of the family's 1533-position model. The record is from RNAcentral.